Molecule: non-coding RNA, 75 nt
Organism: Potamilus streckersoni
Lineage: Eukaryota; Metazoa; Mollusca; Bivalvia; Unionida; Unionidae
Source: the annotation of a GenBank genome assembly
UCUUCGGUGACUUAGGUGGUUAGAGCGUUCGCCUCAGAUGUGGGAGGUCGCAGGUUCAAACCCCGGUCUAGUCAU